AGCACCACAACAGGUGGAGCCUGCGGUUUAAUCGGACUCAACGCCGGGAAACUCACCAGAUAAGACAGCUGAAUGAUAGUCGGGCUGAAGACUCUACUUUGACUAGCUGAGAGGAGGUGCAUGGCCGUCGUCAGUUCGUACUGUGAAGCAUCCUGUUAAGUCAGGCAACGAGCGAGACCCACGCCAACAGUUGCCAGCUCGUCCUCCGGGAUGGUGGGGACACUGUUGGGACCGCCUCUGCUAAAGAGGAGGAAGGAAUGGGCAACGGUAGGUCAGUAUGCCCCGAAUAUCCCGGGCUACACGCGAGCUACAAUGGUUGGUACAAUGGGUAUCUACCCCGAAAGGGGACGGGAAUCUCCUAAAACCAAUCUUAGUUCGGAUUGAGGGCUGCAACUCGCCCUCAUGAAGCUGGAAUCCGUAGUAAUCGCGUUUCAACAGAACGCGGUGAAUACGUCCCUGCUCCUU
Molecule: ribosomal RNA, 465 nt
Filed under: uncultured Methanolinea sp.
Lineage: Archaea; Methanobacteriati; Methanobacteriota; Methanomicrobia; Methanomicrobiales; Methanoregulaceae
Description: bacterial SSU rRNA
Rfam family: Archaeal small subunit ribosomal RNA
Source: RNAcentral